UGAGGAAUAUUGGGCAAUGCCCGCAAGGGUGACCCAGCAACGCCGCGUGGAGGAUGAAUGUCGUAAGAUUGUAAACUCCUGUUAGAGGGGAAGAAUAGUACCGGUUGGACCGGUAUAUGACUGUACCCUCAGAGAAAGCCCCGGCUAACUACGUGCCAGCAGCCGCGGUAAUACGUAGGGGGCAAGCGUUGUCCGGAUUUACUGGGUGUAAAGGGCGCGCAGGCGGGAUAAAAAGUCAGUGGUGAAAUCCUACAGCUUAACUGUAGAACUGCCUUUGAGACUUUUAUUCUUGAGUUCGGGAGAGAGAGACGGAAUUCCAGGUGUAGUGGUGAAAUCCGUAGAUAUCUGGAAGAACACCAGUUGCGAAGGCGGUCUCUUGGUCCGACACUGACGCUGAGGCGCGAAAGCGUGGGGAGCAAACA
Molecule: ribosomal RNA, 422 nt
Filed under: uncultured bacterium
Lineage: Bacteria
Description: bacterial SSU rRNA
Rfam family: Bacterial small subunit ribosomal RNA
Source: RNAcentral